AUGGGCGCAAGCCUGACGGAGCAACGCCGCGUGGGGGAUGACACCUUUCGGGGCGUAAACCCCUUCCUCUUGGGGACGAAGCAGUGACGGUACCCGAGGAAGAAGGCCCGGCUAACUACGUGCCAGCAGCCGCGGUAAUACGUAGGGGCCGAGCGUUGUCCGGAGUUACUGGGCGUAAAGCGCGCGCAGGCGGCUCGUCAAGCCUGACGUGAAAGCCCCCGGCUCAACCGGGGAGGGUCGUCGGGGACUGGCGGGCUUGAGGUCGGCAGGGGUUGGUGGAAUUCCCGGUGUAGUGGUGAAAUGCGUAGAGAUCGGGAGGAACACCCGUGGCGAAGGCGGCCAACUGGGCCGGACCUGACGCUGAGGCGCGAAGGCGUGGGGAGCGAACGGGAUUAGAUACCCCGGUAGUCCACGCAGUAAACGAUGCAGACUAGGCGUGGGGGGACUUGACCCCCUCCGUGCCGCAGCUAACGCGUGAAGUCUGCCGCCUGGGGAGUACG
This 500-nucleotide ribosomal RNA is filed under the name uncultured bacterium. RNAcentral's name for it is "bacterial SSU rRNA". It matches the Rfam family "Bacterial small subunit ribosomal RNA", at positions 371 to 884 of the family's 1533-position model. The record is from RNAcentral.